UCGGCUGCCCUCGAAAAGUAGUUCGCUGGAAUUAAUAAUAAGCAAAGUGAAGGCAAUAUAAGGUUGGGAGCUGCACUUUUCUAACUCUCAAAGACCCAAGGAAAAAGGGAUAUGCCAGGUGUAUGCAUACUGUAUACACUGGUAUACCUCGUGAAAUAUCGAUGUACAGGUCAAAUGUGGAAAGGGAGGUCGAUGAAGGCGGAAUUUUCAAAUUCAUUAAAAAAUACAGGUUUUGGAAAGUCCGAAAUGAGCUGAAUACAGAUCAUAUACAGCAGUAUACACCGGUAUACAACGUAUACACGAUACACAGGUCAAAAGAAAAUAUGCAGGUGCUUGAGGAGCUGAAUCGGAGAAUAUAUGUCGAACAUACAGUCCGAUAUACAAUGAAAAGAACCGAAUGUAGCCCCAUAUAUGGUGGUAUACGCAACACGUAUACACAGCUUCAUUCUAAAGGGAAAUAGGGCCAAAGCCCAAAGAAAUCUGCAGGAGGCCCAAUUUUCUUUGGGUCAUUUUUAAAUGUGGCAGGCUUCCAGAUCCAGUACUUGGGCUUGGCCCAAGUACAAAUAUUUCUUCUCCCUAUUAUUAACUAUUUGUUAUUAUCAUUAUAUUGACUAACGUUUUGGUUGAAUUUUAUUAAUUCUCUAA
Long non-coding RNA from Solanum pennellii, 645 nucleotides. RefSeq lists it as uncharacterized. The record is from RefSeq and is a predicted model, not a curated record. Lineage: Eukaryota; Viridiplantae; Streptophyta; Magnoliopsida; Solanales; Solanaceae. The transcript has 2 exons.